This 253-nucleotide ribosomal RNA is filed under the name uncultured bacterium. RNAcentral's name for it is "partial 16S ribosomal RNA". It matches the Rfam family "Bacterial small subunit ribosomal RNA", at positions 524 to 776 of the family's 1533-position model. The record is from RNAcentral.
UACAGAGGGGGCAAGCGUUGUUCGGAAUUACUGGGCGUAAAGGGCGCGUAGGCGGCCGCCUAAGUCAAACGUGAAAUCCCCGGGCUCAACCCGGGAACUGCGUCCGAUACUGAGUGGCUUGAAUUCGGGAGAGGGAUGCGGAAUUCCAGGUGUAGCGGUGAAAUGCGUAGAUAUCUGGAGGAAUACCGGUGGCGAAGGCGGCAUCCUGGACCGGCAUUGACGCUGAGGAGCGAAAGCUAGGGGAGCAAACGGG